GUACCACAGACACUGGCUCCAGAUUUUGUUGAGAUGAUCAAGAGGAAAUCUAAUCUAAUGCCUCAUAUUGCUUUGGGAUUCCUUAUCUAAGGAGAUCCUUGGAGAGCUCCCAGGUAUAGCUGUCUGAAGAGUGUCACAUCAUCCACAAUCAUACCUGCCAGAGGGUUCAGCCACCAUAGAAGAAGUCUGAUUAUCCUGAGACUACCAGACGCUUAAGGAAGCCUAAGUGAGCCACUUGAAGAUGUCACAUGAAGGAGGAUCCAAGUGCUUUGAUUGACAGCCCCACAUGAAAUCCCAGCCUCUAGGCAGCACCAACUGCCACUGUCUUGGACAUUACGAAUCAGUUGCGCCUCCAGUGAGCCAUCUUGGACAUUCCAGACCAGUUGAGCCUCCAGAUGAUUGCAGCCACAGCUCAACCCACAUAAGGAAGAACUACCCAGGAAAUGUUUUCCACCUGCCUUAAGAAUAGUAGCAAUAUCACUGACCCCAUAAACAUGAGAAGACACAAAUUAGCUGAAGAAGCAUCAGCAUUUUUUUUAAAAGAUUAGGAAGUUACCCACACCCUCUCAUCAAGAACAGUGAUGCCAGAGUGGUCCAUCUUGUGUGCCAGGCUGCAGGCUGGUAUCCAGAGCCUGAGGCAAGCUGGGGAGAUCCCUAAGGACAGAAUUUAAAGCCACGCUCUGAAAACAACAGAGCAGGUAGAAACAACCUGUUCUUCACUGAGUCUUCAGUCCUGGUAACCAUGACCUCUUUGGUCCUCAACCCCAGGCUCAACAAGAAGAAGGAAAUAACUAUUUCUGUUGUCAGAAAUAAUAUAUGGAUAAUUUUGAAUAUUAUUUUAGCUGUAGUCUGCAUUCCCGUGGUUGUUUUUUUCAUUGUGGUGCAAAGACGAUCUAAAAAUCUGGCCAUAGGCAAUUACAAGUCUUUCUGGACCUGAAACAUAGACUGCCAGAUAUUUCUCCAGCAAAGAUGCGUUUAUUCAGGAUCAGCAGAGAAUUGCAAUUCAGGAUCUGCAACCAUGGUGAGCCACAUGCAAGUCCCCACACAGCAAAAGAAGAAAAGGGGAAAAGGAAGUUGGGAGGGCUGCAGUUAACAAAGAGUCCGUGGCUUUUCUUUGGCUGAGUCCUUGCCAGGAAAGGAGAGAAGACUUCUUCCUCUUGGGCUCUGUAGUGGUGCUGGGUGUGAGAGUUCCCCUUUCUGGUCUCCCAACUCUAUUUAAUGGAGGUUUCUGUUUAUUAAUUUUUUAUAGCUUUAUCUGGCUGCCCUCCCCACACCACACUUGGAGCACAGCCUGUGCAUUGCAGUCUCUGAAAGGAAUUGCAGUCAGUGACGCAGGCCCACCCCCACACCCCCACCCC
This is a non-coding RNA of Kogia breviceps (pygmy sperm whale), 1358 nucleotides long. The record is from RefSeq and is a predicted model, not a curated record. Lineage: Eukaryota; Metazoa; Chordata; Mammalia; Artiodactyla; Physeteridae.